RNAcentral lists this long non-coding RNA (1412 nucleotides) under Cyanistes caeruleus (blue tit). RNAcentral describes it as "lncRNA (ENSCCEG00000020467.1)". Lineage: Eukaryota; Metazoa; Chordata; Aves; Passeriformes; Paridae. The record is from RNAcentral.
AUGGCAAAGACAGCAGCUUCUGCAGCCUCUGGUGCUCAGGCGGCAGCAUCAGAGGGCCGGGCAGCUGCCCCACACAGCCCCUGCUGUCCCCCCAGCCCAUUGCCCAGCCAGCAGGAAGAUCUCGGGCUGCGGGCAGGUUCAGGAGGGGUGGCACUCCUGGCAGAGCCACGGGCUGAGGAGGGGUCCCGCUCUGAGGAGCUCAGCUUGGGCCCACCCACGGAGUGGGCAGAAGACACAGACCUGGGCAGGAGUGCUGACCAGGAGAGCAUCUCAGGGUCCCUCCAGUCUGAGCCACUGCCAGAUGACACCGAGCCAAGGAGGAUGGCUGGGGAGGAGAAUAACUUUGUGCCUCUCCCACGUGAGGCUUGGGUAGAAGACCAAGACCAAAGCCAGAGCAGUGAGGGAGAGAGCUCCUCAUGGUCCCUCUCAUGGAUGUCAUCAGAAAAAGACCAUGACAGCGAGGAACCGACUCCCUCAGGAUUCCUGAUAAGCACUGAGGAAGAUGCAGAGAGGCAUUUCAGGGAACUGGAGGAUGCUGUGGGGACCAGUUGGUGGCAGGAAGAGUCGACGAAGUGUGAGAGGCUCAGAUUCCAGCCUCUGCAGGGCCUGUGCUCAGCUGCAGCUGUCCCCAUGCGGUGGCUGUCCCACUCCAGGAGGGCGCUCUGGGCUCUGUGCAGGGCGUUUGGGACGUCCCUCAGACGCCUCAUUCCAGUGCUCCCCUCAUAGAGGCCAUCCCACCAUGGCUCCACGCUGCCAGUGAUAGAACACCCAUGGAGGCCAAGCAGAACCCAAAGCAAGUCAGGGUUCUUGUCAGAGUAACCCUUCCUAUGGCAUGGACGCCUUCAUGAAGGACCUGCACCAGACAAUCGAGUCCACCCUCAGUCAUUUGCAGACAACACCAAAGCUCAGUGGCAGUGAUGAUCUGCUGGAGCUGGGAGGCUCAUGACUGAGGUGCCAUCGUAGCUGCUGCCUUGAAGAACUUGAGGAGCAGAACUAGAAGAAUUAAUUGAGAUAGAUAGGUUAAAAUAGGGGUAGAUGUUAGAAGAGAUUAGUGCUAGGAUUUAAGGUAACAGGAUAGAGGUCAUCUCAUGCCUUCUAUUCCUGUUUAAUUGCUAAAUUAAAAAUUUGGGCUCAGAAUAGGGUGUAUCAUAAGAAAGCCAAGUGUUUAAGCUAAAGAGCUCUUAAUAUUUAAUAUUAGACAUUAAUAUUUAAUAUUAGACAUUAGUUUGUAAAGAAAAGCCACAGGUUUUUUAAAGCUUUUUGUUUCCUAUAGUCUUAUUCAGCACUUGAUCUGGUAUGUUCCUUUGGAACAUGUUCCUUAUGCAAUUGAGCUGUAGCUUUUGUUAAGUUAAAACAGGUUAGAUAUAGAUAAGUUACUUUUAUUGAAAUAAAAUGAUUGAAUUGUUAAAUCA